This is a long non-coding RNA of Myotis brandtii (Brandt's bat), 203 nucleotides long. RefSeq lists it as uncharacterized. NCBI's taxonomy places the organism in Eukaryota, Metazoa, Chordata, Mammalia, Chiroptera, Vespertilionidae. The record is from RefSeq and is a predicted model, not a curated record. The transcript is spliced from 2 exons.
AACAAACAUACCCUUGGGUGAAGAUAAAAAAAAUCUCGCAAGGUCAAUUUUUAUUAUCUUUAUUAUUCCAUUUUUAUGCUAACUCGGGUGUUUAUUGUUCAUUUUCUAAAGUGUUAGGGUGGAAAUUGAAGUCGCUGAUGUGAGAGUUUUAUACCUUAGCAAUUAGUGCUAUAUUUCCUUUUGUACAGUGUUAAACCCUUUGA